UCCGUAGGCGGGCUAAUAAGUCAGGGGUGAAAUCCAACAGCUUAACUGUUGAACUGCCUUUGAUACUGUUAGUCUUGAGUUAUAUGGAAGUAGAUAGAAUGUGUAGUGUAGCGGUGAAAUGCAUAGAUAUUACACAGAAUACCGAUUGCGAAGGCAGUCUACUACGUAUAUACUGACGCUAAUGGACGAAAGCGUGGGGAGCGAACAGGAUUAGAUACCCUGGUAGUCC
Molecule: ribosomal RNA, 229 nt
Filed under: uncultured bacterium
Lineage: Bacteria
Description: partial 16S ribosomal RNA
Rfam family: Bacterial small subunit ribosomal RNA
Source: RNAcentral